GGUAUUGUAGCAUAGGGUAAUGUACCGUGGAUUAGUGAGGCCUGUUGUACCUCACCUGCAGAGGUUCCAGGUUCAACUCCUGGCAGUGUCA
Non-coding RNA from Mycena maculata, 91 nucleotides. The record is from the annotation of a GenBank genome assembly. Lineage: Eukaryota; Fungi; Basidiomycota; Agaricomycetes; Agaricales; Mycenaceae.